GCUCUCUUAGCUCAGUUGAUAAAGCACUUCACUCGUAACGAGGGGGUCACAAGUAGAACCUUGUAGAGAGCA
This 72-nucleotide transfer RNA is filed under the name Lactococcus garvieae. Its description in RNAcentral is "tRNA-Thr". It matches the Rfam family "tRNA". Rfam says of the family: Transfer RNA (tRNA) molecules are approximately 80 nucleotides in length. Their secondary structure includes four short double-helical elements and three loops (D, anti-codon, and T loops). Further hydrogen bonds mediate the characteristic L-shaped molecular structure. tRNAs have two regions of fundamental functional importance: the anti-codon, which is responsible for specific mRNA codon recognition, and the 3' end, to which the tRNAs corresponding amino acid is attached (by aminoacyl-tRNA synthetases). tRNAs cope with the degeneracy of the genetic code in two manners: having more than one tRNA (with a specific anti-codon) for a particular amino acid; and 'wobble' base-pairing, i.e. permitting non-standard base-pairing at the 3rd anti-codon position. Lineage: Bacteria; Bacillati; Bacillota; Bacilli; Lactobacillales; Streptococcaceae. RNAcentral also lists the same sequence under 1 other name. The record is from RNAcentral.